GAGAUUGUGGCUCAGCAGUAGAGCGCUCUCCUAGCACGUGGUGAGGCUCUGGGUUCGAUUCUCAGCACCACA
RNAcentral lists this transfer RNA (72 nucleotides) under Marmota monax (woodchuck). Its description in RNAcentral is "tRNA.Ala". The record is from RNAcentral. Lineage: Eukaryota; Metazoa; Chordata; Mammalia; Rodentia; Sciuridae.